This 124-nucleotide ribosomal RNA is filed under the name Crocodylus porosus (Australian saltwater crocodile). Lineage: Eukaryota; Metazoa; Chordata; Crocodylia; Crocodylidae. The record is from RNAcentral.
UGAGGUGGCCUUGCCAGCCUGAAUGCACCUGAUCUCAUCUCAUCCUAGAAGCUCAACAGUCGGGCCUGGAUUGUAUGUGGAGUACUGACUAUCUGGGUAAUUCCAGAUUUGAAUGGCACAUCGA